RNAcentral lists this transfer RNA (93 nucleotides) under Rhodospirillaceae bacterium. RNAcentral describes it as "tRNA-Ser". It matches the Rfam family "tRNA". Rfam says of the family: Transfer RNA (tRNA) molecules are approximately 80 nucleotides in length. The record is from RNAcentral. Lineage: Bacteria; Pseudomonadati; Pseudomonadota; Alphaproteobacteria; Rhodospirillales; Rhodospirillaceae.
GGAUGGGUGGCCGAGUGGCUGAAGGCGCUCCCCUGCUAAGGGAGUAUAUGGUGUUGAGCCGUAUCGUGGGUUCGAAUCCCACCCCAUCCGCCA